UGUAACUUCCUCAGAAAAAGUGGAUAAAGAGAACAGAUACAGUGACUUUGUGAUAUUAUCUUUGCCUUAUCCAGGUUGUGAAUUUUUUGUCAAAUUCAGAGACAAUAAUUAUUCUGGAGAGAAACUGGUAUUUGAUUGGACACAAGAUUUUGUUAAUGCCCAACUCAUUGUGCCUAAUGAUGAUAUUGGUUCUCACUUAGAAAUUCCCUGGAAUGAUUACAGAGAAUGGGAUUUGGUUAUAUUGACAAAGAAUUAUUUGAAAUUACUCCUUAAAUAUAUUUUUGAAGGUAAGUAC
Molecule: long non-coding RNA, 295 nt
Organism: Centruroides sculpturatus (bark scorpion)
Lineage: Eukaryota; Metazoa; Arthropoda; Arachnida; Scorpiones; Buthidae
Exons: 4
Source: RefSeq, a predicted model, not a curated record